This 331-nucleotide ribosomal RNA is filed under the name uncultured bacterium. RNAcentral describes it as "bacterial SSU rRNA". It matches the Rfam family "Bacterial small subunit ribosomal RNA", at positions 568 to 898 of the family's 1533-position model. The record is from RNAcentral.
UGCGUAGACGGUUAUGUAAGUCGGGUGUGAAAGCCCCGGGUUCAACCUGGGAAUGCCAUUCGAAACUGCAUAGCUAGGGUGCGGAAGAGGGAAGCGGAAUUUCCGGUGUAGCGGUGAAAUGCGUAGAUAUCGGAAGGAACACCAGUGGCGAAAGCGGCUUCCUGGUCCAGCACCGACGUUCAGGCACGAAAGCGUGGGGAGCAAACAGGAUUAGAUACCCUGGUAGUCCACGCCAUAAACGAUGAGAACUAGACGUUGAGAGGGUAAGCCUCGCAGUGUCGUAGCUAACGCGCUAAGUUCUCCGCCUGGGGAGUACGGCCGCAAGGUUGAA